UACGUAGGGUGCGAGUGUUGUCCGGAAUUAUUGGGCGUAAAGGGCUCGUAGGCGGUUUGUCGCGUCGGGAGUGAAAUCCACUGGCUUAACUGGUGGCUUGCUUUCGAUACGGGCAGACUGGAGGUAUGCAGGGGAGAACGGAAUUCCUGGUGUAGCGGUGAAAUGCGCAGAUAUCAGGAGGAACACCGGUGGCGAAGGCGGUUCUCUGGGCAUGUCCUGACGCUGAGGAGCGAAAGUGUGGGGAGCGAACAGG
Molecule: ribosomal RNA, 253 nt
Filed under: uncultured bacterium
Lineage: Bacteria
Description: partial 16S ribosomal RNA
Rfam family: Bacterial small subunit ribosomal RNA
Source: RNAcentral